Non-coding RNA from Salmo salar (Atlantic salmon), 54 nucleotides. The record is from Rfam. Lineage: Eukaryota; Metazoa; Chordata; Actinopteri; Salmoniformes; Salmonidae.
UGCAUGCACUACUGUAAGUCGCUCUGGAUAAGAGUGUCUGCUAAAUGACUAAAA